Molecule: ribosomal RNA, 406 nt
Filed under: uncultured bacterium
Lineage: Bacteria
Description: partial 16S ribosomal RNA
Rfam family: Bacterial small subunit ribosomal RNA
Source: RNAcentral
AUUGAACGCUGGCGGCAGGCCUAACACAUGCAAGUCGAACGAGUGGCGGACGGGUGAGUAAUGUCUGGGAAACUGCCUGAUGGAGGGGGAUAACUACUGGAAACGGUAGCUAAUACCGCAUACCAUCGGAUGUGCCCAGAUGGGAUUAGCUAGUUGGUGGGGUAAAGGCUCACCAAGGCGACGAUCCCUAGCUGGUCUGAGAGGGUGACCAGCCACACUGGAACUGAGACACGGCCCAGACUCCUACGGGAGGCAGCAGUGGGGAAUAUUGCACAAUGGGCGAAAGCCUGAUGCAGCAAUGCCGCGUGUGUGAAGAAGGCCUUCGGGUUGUAAAGUACUGUCAGCGGGGAGGCGGUAUCCGCAGAAGAAGCACCGGCUAACUCCGUGCCAGCAGCCGCGGUAAUAC